UAUCCACGGACAUUGCUUUGGCAUGGAAGUAUUCCUCAUGUAAAUGGACCUAAAUCAGAUGUUCUUCCUGAAUCAGAGUCUAAGAUGAUCAUCCAUGAAGAAACUGUUCAAACGGAUCAAAACGUACCUCUAUCUAAUAUUGAAAGAUUCUGCGUUUGCUGUGAACAAAUAUUAUCAUUUGAUAAUUUUUGAAAAGGGGACACAUGAAUGCAAAUCAUAUUUAUGUUACAAUGGAAUAAGAAGGUUUUAUAGAAGCAAGUAGCAGUUCGGCCACCCCCAAACGUAUUGGUAGUAAGCUGAGCCCCUUAACCAACCAGAGAAUUGAAAGAAUGAAGGCUAAAAUCAAUUCUUUCCUCAAGAUGUUUAUGACUACACGUUGUCUUUGGGGUGUUCGGUUCGAAAAUCAAAAUAAAAUAAAAAAAGUGAAUACAAAAAAUCAAAAACUCAGAAAUCUAUGCAAUGAAUAAUGAUUCACAUUUA
Molecule: long non-coding RNA, 480 nt
Organism: Harmonia axyridis
Lineage: Eukaryota; Metazoa; Arthropoda; Insecta; Coleoptera; Coccinellidae
Exons: 3
Source: RefSeq, a predicted model, not a curated record